This 126-nucleotide unclassified non-coding RNA is filed under the name uncultured Ambispora. RNAcentral describes it as "sequence contains ITS1". Lineage: Eukaryota; Fungi; Glomeromycota; Glomeromycetes; Archaeosporales; Ambisporaceae. The record is from RNAcentral.
AAAAACGGGGAGGCGUGCUCUCGUUUCUCUUGGAGUCGGGACACGCUUCCUUUUAGUAUCCAAAUUCUUUAUUUUUGUUUCGGAAUCCGGCGAUUACAUGCUAGAUUCACAAAUCCAAUCUAAACA